RNAcentral lists this ribosomal RNA (1489 nucleotides) under uncultured bacterium. RNAcentral's name for it is "16S ribosomal RNA". It matches the Rfam family "Bacterial small subunit ribosomal RNA". The record is from RNAcentral.
AGAGUUUGAUCCUGGCUCAGGAUGAACGCUAGCGACAGGCUUAACACAUGCAAGUCGAGGGGCAGCGGGGUGUAGCAAUACACCGCCGGCGACCGGCGCACGGGUGAGUAACGCGUAUGCAACUUGCCUAUCAGAGGGGGAUAACCCGGCGAAAGUCGGACUAAUACCGCAUGAAGCAGGGGCCCCGCAUGGGGAUAUUUGCUAAAGAUUCAUCGCUGAUAGAUAGGCAUGCGUUCCAUUAGGCAGUUGGCGGGGUAACGGCCCACCAAACCGACGAUGGAUAGGGGUUCUGAGAGGAAGGUCCCCCACAUUGGUACUGAGACACGGACCAAACUCCUACGGGAGGCAGCAGUGAGGAAUAUUGGUCAAUGGGCGCGAGCCUGAACCAGCCAAGUCGCGUGAGGGAUGAAGGUUCUAUGGAUCGUAAACCUCUUUUAUAAGGGAAUAAAGUGCGGGACGUGUCCCGUUUUGUAUGUACCUUAUGAAUAAGGAUCGGCUAACUCCGUGCCAGCAGCCGCGGUAAUACGGAGGAUCCGAGCGUUAUCCGGAUUUAUUGGGUUUAAAGGGUGCGUAGGCGGCCUUUUAAGUCAGCGGUGAAAGUCUGUGGCUCAACCAUAGAAUUGCCGUUGAAACUGGGGGGCUUGAGUAUGUUUGAGGCAGGCGGAAUGCGUGGUGUAGCGGUGAAAUGCUUAGAUAUCACGCAGAACCCCGAUUGCGAAGGCAGCCUGCCAAGCCAUGACUGACGCUGAUGCACGAAAGCGUGGGGAUCAAACAGGAUUAGAUACCCUGGUAGUCCACGCAGUAAACGAUGAUCACUAGCUGUUUGCGAUACAGUGUAAGCGGCACAGCGAAAGCGUUAAGUGAUCCACCUGGGGAGUACGCCGGCAACGGUGAAACUCAAAGGAAUUGACGGGGGCCCGCACAAGCGGAGGAACAUGUGGUUUAAUUCGAUGAUACGCGAGGAACCUUACCCGGGUUUGAACGCAUUCGGACCGAGGUGGAAACACCUUUUCUAGCAAUAGCCGUUUGCGAGGUGCUGCAUGGUUGUCGUCAGCUCGUGCCGUGAGGUGUCGGCUUAAGUGCCAUAACGAGCGCAACCCUUGCCACUAGUUACUAACAGGUGAUGCUGAGGACUCUGGUGGGACUGCCAGCGUAAGCUGCGAGGAAGGCGGGGAUGACGUCAAAUCAGCACGGCCCUUACAUCCGGGGCGACACACGUGUUACAAUGGCGUGGACAAAGGGAGGCCACCUGGCGACAGGGAGCGAAUCCCCAAACCACGUCUCAGUUCGGAUCGGAGUCUGCAACCCGACUCCGUGAAGCUGGAUUCGCUAGUAAUCGCGCAUCAGCCAUGGCGCGGUGAAUACGUUCCCGGGCCUUGUACACACCGCCCGUCAAGCCAUGGGAGCCGGGGGUACCUGAAGUCCGUAACCGCGAGGAUCGGCCUAGGGUAAAACUGGUGACUGGGGCUAAGUCGUAACAAGGUAGCCG